Molecule: unclassified non-coding RNA, 200 nt
Filed under: soil metagenome
Description: partial contains internal transcribed spacer 2 and large subunit ribosomal RNA
Source: RNAcentral
UUCGAGCGUCACUUACACCCUCAAGUCAAACUUUUUGGUUAACUUGGUGUUGGGCCUUGCCGGAAGGCAUGCCUAAAAAUUAGCGAUGGUACGUUAAACCACGGACGCACAAAUGUUGUUACGUAGGGGCACGGCACCAGUCUAAUGAUUAAUUUCUCAAUGUUGACCUCGGAUCAGGUAGGAAUACCCGCUGAACUUAA